RNAcentral lists this ribosomal RNA (253 nucleotides) under uncultured bacterium. RNAcentral's name for it is "partial 16S ribosomal RNA". It matches the Rfam family "Bacterial small subunit ribosomal RNA", at positions 524 to 776 of the family's 1533-position model. The record is from RNAcentral.
UACGGGGGGGGCAAGCGUUGUUCGGAAUUACUGGGCGUAAAGGGCUCGUAGGCGGCCAACUAAGUCGGACGUGAAAUCCCCAGGCUCAACCUGGGAACUGCGUCUGAUACUGGAUGGCUUGAAUCCGGGAGAGGGAUGCAGAAUUCCAGGUGUAGCGGUGAAAUGCGUAGAUAUCUGGAGGAAUACCGGUGGCGAAGGCGGCAUCCGGGACCGGCAUUGACGCUGAGGAGCGAAAGCCAGGGGAGCAAACGGG